Long non-coding RNA from Mustela erminea (ermine), 626 nucleotides. RefSeq lists it as uncharacterized. The record is from RefSeq and is a predicted model, not a curated record. The transcript has 4 exons. NCBI's taxonomy places the organism in Eukaryota, Metazoa, Chordata, Mammalia, Carnivora, Mustelidae.
CAGUGAGGAUGUUUUCAACCACAUGGGGGGAGAGAGGAAAACAAGUCGAGCAAAAGAAAUUGAAAGGGCUUGGCCUCCAUGGUGCCCAUAACAGAACUGAAGUCAUUAAAGAUACCACAAAGCAAAGCGAAGGCCUCAUGAGGAUGUCUGAGCUAGAGGACACACCUCAGGUUUGGAGGAGACAGACUCAAGACGUUCACAUCAGUAAGGAAGAAGGCAGAGCCGGGGAGGCUCUUAGAUUCCAGGUUCUAAAAGCACACCUCUGAGGAAGAGGCUGCCAGACCAGAAGCACCGUUCCUUCAAUUUCUAGUUUGACGAAUCUCGUUAAUGACUAGCAGUUCCAGCCCUGGGGGAGCGAAGAAUCCUCCCCCGUCUGCCAGGAGGUGCAGAGCCAAAGCGUGAAGGAGGAGCAGGUUCUCAGUGGAAGUCCCCCCUCAGAUGCUAAGUUGGACAUCCACAUCAGGUGCUUCUACAAAAAAGCUGACCACCCUCCAUCCAGAAAUUAUUGAAUUCUUGGUGAAAAACAUCAAGGGGAAAGAACACAAUGGCAGAGUGGAGUGCCACAGUGGGGAAGAGGAAGUGCUCCCAAGAUAGGCAGGUGGAUGAGAAGCCCAUUCACAAGAAAG